This 290-nucleotide long non-coding RNA is filed under the name Elaeis guineensis (African oil palm). Its description in RNAcentral is "long non-coding RNA (EGUI_LNC039415)". Lineage: Eukaryota; Viridiplantae; Streptophyta; Magnoliopsida; Arecales; Arecaceae. The record is from RNAcentral.
AUUCUAUAUAAGUUCAGAAAUUCUACAACUAAAUAAUAGAAAGGUAGCCAAAUACCGGCCUUCAAAGCUUCCUCGUAAAGGCUUACUCGAUCUUGACUAGGAAGAGCUAUUCGAUCCCCGAGAACGGUGACCUCCAGCCCGAACUUGGUUGGGACUUGGUAUUUCAAUCUAAUGAUCUCCAAAUCCUCUUAGGUGAGGACGGAGUUCAUCCUAAACGGACUGAAGUCCGGGAUCUCGCUUUCUUUAGGUCCACCUGAAGAACAAGCUACCUCAAACCCAGGGUCUGCGCC